UGUUCACUAGUAAGCGAGUGCCUUUUGGUAUAUCGUAGUCACUAACAACACAAUCCUCAAUCGACUCAUGGGGUAGCAUGAGUGGUGCGGCUGGAUAUAAACGCAACGACUCGUUAACAAUAGCUUGAAGAUAAACUAAGUUCUUGAGGUCCGAUUCUUGGACCCAUCUGUUCUUGCCAACAUGAAUGUCUAGCUCAUCUUGGGCCUUUUUAAGGGCUUCGUAGUUGUUUAGGAGUAAAGAUAGAGUCCAUGUUAGAGUUACAAUUGUAGUAUCGGUACCUGCCGAUUGCAUAGCCUGCCAAGCCCAAAAGUUGCAGCAAUUAACUCCACAUUCCACAAUAUAUAGUAAGAAGUAGAAACAAAAUUGGUCUAAGUUAUAUUCACUGACAUUCUAAAUCAGGGAAGAUAUACAGAUUAUGUACAUAUUCGGCACAAGUAAGCAGUUUUAGCCCAAAACAUAUAUGUGCGUUGAGAAAUUUACUAAACAUAUACAUAAUUAACAAACUGUGAAACCACCAGCAAAAAUGGGUUAUUGGUUGAAUGAUGUAUAAAUAAUGUUCAUCGACCACUUUCCGAUCAUGUCUUUGAUCAAUGGAAUUUCAAAUUCUAAAUGUGAAGUUUCAUGAUAAUGAGUAAUGACCAGAAAGUUUACCUAUGACUUUUGAAAUCCCAUGAAAAUGAUCAUUUUUCAACGAUAUGGAUCGAUAAAAUAGUUAGUUGCGAAUUAAGCAGCCAGACAAGUCAGAAAUAGCCAAUUUUCAAUCCAUGCAGUUGAAAAAUAAUUACUAUCGUGGAAUAUGUUAACAUUGUCUAUUUUCAAAGACACGGCUCAAACGCGACUAAUGGCUGUUAUUUCUAAGGCAAAUGAAGGGUUCACAGAAAUCAUGAGCUUCAAAUCCUAAAUAUUUAACCACAAUUGUAAGCGAGGUUUAUAAGAUCAGUUAACUAAAAACGUACCAUACAAGUAGCUUUGAUAACGGCAUCAGCAUCAAAACCAUAAAGAUCUUUAUCUUCACAAAUGGACAACAUGACAUCCAUGAAAUCUUCAUCUCCUGAUUUAUUUCCCUUUAAUUUCCUCUUUCUUUUGUGCUCUGCUAACCAAUCUUCAAGAAUAAUAUCUAUUUCUUUAGCAGUUUCUUUCAUGGCCUUCUCAUGGCCACCAAUAUCCAGCCAUCUUAGAUAAGGUAAAAAAUCAGCCACAAUAAAAACCCCAAAUAAUUCAACAAAUCUCCGAAUUGCUUUGUGAGCCUUACUUCUGUCUUCAUUAUCUGUUGCAUGGGUGGAUCUAACAUUUAAGUUUUAUGGUUUAAAUUUAUUUUAUAUCAGAUCACUUAUAAGUAAUUUCAAGUAAAUCUAUUUAAUAAGCAUUAAUAAGUCAUCUGCUGUGAACCGAAUCAACGAUGAUCACAAAACUCAAAAUUAAGUACCUUUGUAUUGUACUCCAAAUAGGAUCUUCACCAUGGUGUUCAUAAUUAAGUUCCCAAACCAUUCCUUCAUCUCCAUCUUCACAACAUCAUUUAAGUUACUACUCUUAUUCUUGAAACAAUAUUCAUAUGUCUUUUUAACAGCUGAUUUUACUUCAAAUUCUUGAACAUGGCUAAACAUGUCAAUUCGCCGAGCUGAAAGGAACUCAAUUGUGACAAUUUUCCUUAUCUCCCGCCAGUACGGUCCAUAAGGCCCAAGCCCAAACAUGGCAUAAUUGUAGCCUAAGAUCUCUGAAGCUAUGGAUUUUGGCCGAUUUGCAAAUGCCAUAUCGUUUGUGGUGAAACAUUCUCUGGCUAUUUUGUGGUCACUCACAAUUACUACUUGAUUUACGCCCAACUUUAAUCGAAAAAUUGGCCCGUAUUUAUCAGCCAUAUGACCAAAAAUUUUGUGUGGCAUUUGAGAUCCAUUGAGGAGGUGGAGAUGGCCGAUAAUCGGCCAUGCUCCGCCAGCUUCAGGUACCUUUCUACUCUGGCUUUUAGCUGCGAAAAUUAGUUUGUGAAGAAAGAAGGAAAGAAGAAAGGAGAUAGCAAGCGUAAGGACAAUCAGAAAGAAAUCCAUGGCUACAAUCAACUUGUUGUAUGAGCUCACUUGUGUAAUUAUUAAUUAAUACUACUAAAAUUGACAAGAUGACAGGAGGAGGAUGGCCCACACGUUUCCUACAUAUAGAACGAGAACACUCGACUGCCUCCUAACAUUUACCUUAGUACUCAACCUUCAAACCGUUGUUUUGGGUCAGGUACUUAUCUGAAAUUGUGUCAUAGUUAUCUCUACCUCUCCUAGCUUUUACUAUAGUCAACCUCUUGCAUCUCCUAAUAGGCGCAUUUGUUCACCUCCUCUUCACAUGCACAUGUCCAAACCAUCCAAAACUCACUUCCCCAUCUUAUCCACAAUGGAGGCAACUCCCCCCUUGCCUCUUAUAGCUUUCAUUUCUAAUUAUAUCUCUCCUAGUAUGCCACAUAAUCAUCUAAGCAUCCCCAUCUCCGAUACCCCUAUUUUUUGAAUUGUGCGGUCUUGACUAUCCAAUACUUUACCCCAUUUAAUACUGUCAGUCUAAUCACUAUUCUAUAGAACUUACCUUUAAAUUAAUCUUGAAUACACAUUAGCAGGACUUAUAAGUUGGACAGUCAACAAUAGCCACAUUCAUGAGAUAAGAUAACAAAGAUAAAAAUGCCCAAAUGAGUGUGUGGACAUACUAAAGUCAAUCAUCCAAAAUGUCACGAUCGCAUUCUAAUCAAACUGCAUUAAAGUUUAGACUAAAAUUGAUUGUGUAUCUGACUUUAUAGAUGCAUAAAUUUUCUCAAAAUUUUCAAUCGUACACAUACAUGUGUUUGUAUUCUAGUGGGAGAAAAAUGACCCAAUAUAGGAUGAAAAUGAUUCCCACCAUAUGUUCCAGCCUUUAAAGACUUCAAAAACUUCUUAUUGAUACAUAUAAUAUCGUAGGGAAAAUGACAUUUUGAUCCCUCAUAAUUUUUCGGAGUUAGAGUUGGAUUUGUGUUUGACCAUGAAUAUAAAUUAAAGUUAUUUUUGAAAUUUUGUGAGAGAAGUAUGAGUAAAAAAAUUAAAAACAAGUAAAACUUGUCUAACUUUUUCCAAAUAUAAUUUUGUAACGCCCGUAGUUUUCUCGACUUGAUAUCACUUCAUAGUAUGCUUGGAGGGUCAAUCUUCUGAAAAUUUUUCUAAGUGUCAAAAGGACUUAGUCACAUUUUGAACCCCUAACCUUUGAUAAUUUUAUUUUCAACCUUUUCGACCUCGAAAAGUUAAUUUUCAAGUUGAUUCAUGAUUGGGGAAGUUAAUAGUACAAUUUGGGUAAGUUUUGAAAUUUUCGGACAUCGUUAGAGGUGUAUUUGGGUGUUUGAAGCAGUCGCCUGAUGCGAAGUCGGCGCGCCGCGUCGAUGAUAGCGUUGAUGAAACAGUGGACCGACGCGAUCUCAACGCGUCGAUGCCCAGUUUGCGUUUUUUAAAAUAAUAACCGGACUUGAGGAGGGCGUUAUAGUCUUUUCCUCGCCCUAUCUCUACCAUAACACGAAAUUAAAGUGUCAUUGGAGCAAAAUACAUCAGAAAAACUACUUCCCUCUCUAAUCAAAACCCUAGUCCCUCCCCCAUAGAUCAAGAGUUCAUCUUUGAAGUCAAGAAUUUCAAGGAAACUUGAGCAAGAUUUGGUUUCCACUCUUCCUCUUAAGUGAUCUAAGAUACAUGGGGUUUUCCUAAAACUACAUGGGCAUGGUGUAAUUGUUUUAAUGAUGAAUAAAUGUUUAGAAAUCAGGAACUUACAAAGGGGUUUUAGAUUUACAAUUACAUUUAUGGAUUAUGAAACCGUAUUGAUGAUAAUGUUUUGGUCUUGAGGCCUUUUCCCCAACAUUGAUUUAUAACCAUGUAUAAGUAUAUAUGUAUAUGUGUUUGAAGAGUUUGAAUGAGGAAUUGAGAGCAUGACCUAGUAGAAAUCCCUCUCUUGUUUACAAACAUCUUGUUUUCGUAAGAUUUGAGUUAUUCGAAAUGCAUUGUUGGGAUUGAAGAGAGAGGGUUUUAAUGUUGAUAAAUGCCGAAAAUUUAUAAUGAAAGAAUUGCAUGGUUUUGCCAAAAAUACAUAACCACCACAUGUUUGUUGGAAUUGUUGAAAAGAUGAGAAUCUUUGCAUGGUCUUGACUUAUGUUUUGAAAUAUGAAUUCUCUUAUACUUGUCUGAAUGUCUUGGUGGUCUGAACAUUGUUUUAAGUGAAAGAAUCUUGCAUGAUGAUACCUUAUGGCUCAGAUAUAUGACUUGCAAGUCUUGGUAUGACUGCCAAAUUCAGAUAAUGCCAUAGCAGAAUUAGAACAGAUUAAAGAUACAGAUUUUUGCUUAGAAUUUUCAGAAUUUGCUUUCAGAAAGAUGCAUGUUUAGAACAUACUAAAAAUGGGCUUAAGAGAUGUUAGGUGGUUGCCUGAAGAAGGCAUGGGCCAUAAAACUCAUUGUCCAAAAUCGUGUUUUGCUGAUACGGGUAAUUUAUUAUUGUACGCUGGCGACAGCCCUAGGGCGUAGCAGAUUCAGAUACUCCAAUCCUUGUGACAAACUUAGGUUGGGGACUUGGCCGCCAAGAUAAGGGCGGAUCCCAUAUAGCCCGUGGGGUAGCAGAUAUGUAGGGUAUACCACCUAGUUUAAAAGUAAUACAAAGUAUAGAGUUGCAUUAACAAGACUGUGUUAAGAUCUUUUGAGAUGGCCCAUGGGAUUUUAAAACUACUCAUACAUGAUAUUUUUAUGACUUGCUCUCACCUAUAUUUUAUAUGUAUAAAUUCACUAUUUUGGAUUGCCCUGCAUACCAGUACAAUUGUAUUGACCCCCUAUAUUUCAGGAUCUGAGGCUCAGUCUAGAGGUCCUGCUAAGCCGUAGACUUAUUCAGACAAGAUUGAAGUGUGCAGUUGGUGAGUCUUCUUUAUUCUGGGAGGCCCAGUCCUUUUUCAGAUAUUUGCUAUUUAUUUUGGUAUUGGUCCACUGGGGGCCUUGUCUCGGUUUCAGACAGUUUAUUUAUUUCAUAUGUAGUAGAGAUUUUGUAGACUAAAUAAGAUGUUGUCUAGAUGUUGAUUUUUCUUACUUCCGUACUGUUAAACAGAAAUUAGAUUAUGACCAUGUUUCCGUAUUGUUUUGUAUUUUCGCGUUUUGUCCUUGUAUAUGAAUGGUGUAUGUGAUUACAAGUUAGAAGGGCUUACGGGCCUUCAUGAUUCGGGAUGCCCGUUACGCCAAGGCUCCGGUUCGGGCCGUGAAAAAUUUUUAAAUUUAUAUUUAUAAUUUUCAUGGCCAAACGGCUACUUAGUACCUGUUGUACUCCAAAUAGCAUCUUCACCAUAGUGUUCAUAAUUAAAUUCCCAAACCAUUCCUUCAUCUCCAUCUUCACAGCACCUUACUACUCUUAUUCUUCAACCAAUAUUAAAUCUCUUUAAUAGCUGAUUUUACUUCUAAUACUCGAAUGUGGCCAAACAUUUCAAUUCUCCAAACUGAAAGUAAUUCAACGGUGACUAUCUUCCUCAUCUCACGCCAGUACGGUCCAUAAGGUACAAACGCAAACAUGACAUUAUUAUAGCCUAAGAUCCCAGAAGCUAUAUGUUUAGGCCAAUUCGCAAAGGCCAUAUCGUUUGUUGUGAAGCGUUCUUUGGCUAUUUUGUGAUCACUCACUAUUACUACGUAAUUUACUCGCAGCUUUAAUUGGAAAAUAGACCCAUAUUUAUCUGCCAUAUGAACGAAAAUUUUGUGUGCCAUUUGAGGUCCAUUGGGGAGGUGGAGAUGACCGAUGAUAAGCCAUGCUCCUGCAGGUUCUGGUAUAUUUCUACUCUGCCUUUUAGACGACAAUAAUAGUUUGUGAAGAAAGAUGAAAAGAAGGAAGGAUAUAGCUAGUGUAAGGACAAUCAGAGAUAAAUCCAUGGCUAUGAUCAAUUUGUUAAGUGGUCAGUACUAGUUAAAUAAAUAUAUGACACCCGGCAUUUUUGGGCUAGAAUUCAAACCGUUGUUUCUACGCGUAUAGACCCGAACCCAAUGAUUCCUUGUUAAUAUAUGUGUGAUGAUCAAUUCUAUAGUGUGAAAAUACUUUUGAAUAUGAAUUAAGGUCACAAAAAUCUCCAAACUCAAAGACGAAUUGAGAACUUUUCUACCGAUUAAAAUUUAGUGAAUGUUUCAAUUUAGGUCAACUUUCAAUGACCAUUAUUUCUAGAAUAUUUUGAUUUAGGAGGCCUACUAUAUAUAAAAUGAAAGAUCCAUGAGUCUUCUUUCUAACGCAUCUAAUUUCACCUUAAUCCGAUAUCGGAGUAGAAUCGGAGUAGAAAAUUAUACUCAUUUUACUUCUAAGUGUCUGUUUGUCAACCAUGACAAGCCGUCACUUAGGUGACGACUAAGCUAACGAACCGUCAACUAAGUGACGAGCCAUCAGCUCUAAUCAUCAGACUAGGUCAGUAAAUGGUAAAUCCAACCUGAAAGUGACGACUAGGGUGACAAGCCUUCACCUAACUGACGGGCCGUCAACCUUGUUGUCAACUGAAGAAUUUCUGCAAUUUUUUUUUGGUUUCUUUAGGGGUAUUUUGGUCUUUUCCUCACCCAAAAUCCUACCCUCACGAUUUAAAACAUUCUUUAAACAUUGUUUUUCCAUUAUAUGUCAGUUUCUCAUCUCUCCUUCUCCUCUCCACUCUAAAGAGAAAGAAAAAUUAGGAUUUCUUCCAAGGCUCACAAUUUCAAUACUAGAUUUCAAGCUAGUUCUAAUAUUUGUUCAUCUAAAAGGUAUGUGGAACUAUCCUAUAUUUCAUGGGUGUAAUUUUACGGUUUUAACAAAUUUUAAAGAUAUAUAUAUAUAUAUAUAUAUAUAAUGGAUUUGGAGAUAUCGUUUAAGAGCAUGCAUCAUAAAACCAUUUUGAUGAAAGUACGUAAUUAUCAUGGGUUUUUUCCAUAAGCUUGAUUUAUAAUCUUGUGCAUACAUGAUUUGAGUUUGAAAAGUGAUUUGUAAAUGUGACUUAUGAAAUUUCCUUCCCCGUGAUGAAAUUUAUGGUCUUUACAUGGUUUGAAUUGUGAAUUGGAUUUGAGAGCAUGAAUUAUAAGCUCUUUUUUUAUCAUGAGAUUUAUGUAUAACUAUGUUGGGGCUGGUUUAUGAAUGAUGAUAAUUCAUGAGUUUUAAUUGUCUCUUUAACCAUUAUACAUUGUUGUUUUGCACGUUUUUAAAGGGGUAUUUCUUAUGCUAAAGGCUCUUGUGUAUUAACUGAAAGAAAUGCAUGUGUUGAAUAAAAGAAUUGGCCACCAUGUUCAAGACUUGAAAUGAUAGUAUGUUGCAUAAGUUUUCAUAUGCUUUUGAAAUAAGAACUCACAUGUGAUGUUUAAAUAUUUUGGUAGUUAUAACAUGAUUCUUGAAUGAAAGGACUGUGGAUAUGAUAUGAUAUGACUUGCAAGUCUAGAUAUGACGAUACAUAUUACGAAAUGCCUUUAGCAUGACAACAAAUUAUGUUAUAAGCAUGAAGCAUGAUUUUAAAGAACAAAAAAUGGGCUUAAAGAACGUUAGAUAGCUACCCUAAGAAGGCACAAGUUCAGAUAAUCCAUAGCCCGAAAUUAUAUUUUACUGAUGCGGGUUUCAUGGUGUGUAUGUUAGUAAGGAGGCAUAUAUUUUUCAUGAUAAGUAUGUCAGUAAGGAGGCAUAUAUUUUUCAUGAUAUGUAUGUUAGUAAGGAGGCAUACUUUUCAUAACAUGGUGUGUCAGUAAGGAGGCAUACCUUGUUUUAUUACAGACCCCAACUCUUGCGACAAACUUGGGUUGGAGAUUUGACCGCCGAAUUAAGAGAGGAUUUUAUAUAGCCCAUGAAAUUAUAGAAAUGUAGGGUGUACCAUCUAACUCAGAAGUAUGGAAACAGUUGAGUCAUGAUUACAAGAAAAUAUUUGUUUUCAUUUACCUUAUGCUAAAUUGCUUUAUGAAAUGCUCUCACUUUUGUUGUAUAAAAAUAUCUGUUCUAUUUUUGAAUUGUUCUACAUACCAGUACUUUCGAGUAUUGACCCCCUAUAUUUCAUGUUCUGAGGCACAGUUUUGUGGUCCCAUCAACCAGUAGUUUAUUUCCAGAUAUUCAGAGUUGGUGAGCCUCCCUUACUUCGGAAGACAUAUCUUCUAUGUGUGGUUUCCUUUUUAAUUUUAUGGUUUGGCCGGGGACCUUACCGGACUUAGACAGACUAGUAUGCUCAGUUCAGUAGAGGCUUCGUAGACUGUGUUACAUUGUAUUUGGAUUUUUCUUAUGCAUGGUUUUAUGUUAUAAAAUUUUAAGUUUGGUCUGAGACUACCAUGUUUUCAAUUUAUCUUCCGCACUUUUACACCAUAUAAGUUAUGCUUAUGAUUUCAUGUUAAGGGGUCUCUCGGACUUUCAUGGUUCGGGAUGCCCCCUGCGGUCAGGGCCUCGAUUCGGACCGUGACAAGAUAACUCGCUCCAUGCAUCAUUAAUUAUCUUCGGAAAAUCAAGAGAUAAUUCUACUCUCUCCUUUUAUAUUGGUUGACACUCUUGCUAAAAGUAUUUAUUUCAUUUUAGUUGUUCAAAUUCUGAAAUUAAGAGAAUUUUAUUGUAUUUUUUCAAUAUUAUCCCUAUCAUUAAAUGACUAUGUAAAGUGUAUAUAAUUAAAUUUAUAUUUUCAAUACAUAAUUAAUAGUGUUACUUUAGUAAAAUAAACAUCUAUUAAAUAUUUUUUAAAGGGAGUGCCAAGUCAAUAAGGCCAACUAAAACGAAAUAGAGCGAGUAUUAUACUUUUAUUAUUAAAUACGAUUUAUUUCAUAGUAAAGUAUAAUUAAUAUGGGUGAUAUAAUGAAAUAAACAAGUAAAAGAUGGGCGGCGGACUAGAGAAAAUGAUGAAAUAUGCCAUUGAAUUAUCAGAAAUGACUCAUUUAUGCCAUCAGUUAAAAGUUUGACUCAUUCAUGCCAUUACCGUUACAAAACCAGCUCAUCCAUGCCAUUUUUUUUUAACAGAAGGUUUUCAAAAAUAGCUUUGCCAUAUGACCUUUUAUUAGAGGUCCAUAUCAUUAAUUAAAAUAAGAGAAAAGGCUCAAAUAUGCUAUUCAACUAUCAGAAAUGACUCAUUUAUGCCAUCAGUUAAAAGUUCGGCUAAUUCAUGCUAUCGCCGUUAUAAAAUCAGCUCAUCCAUGCAAUUACUUUUUAACGGUGAGUUUUCAAAAAUAAUUUUUUUUCACAUGACCUUUAAUUAGAGAUUCACGUCAUUAAUUAAAAUAAAUUUAUAUUAAUUUCAAAAUAUCUGAAAUUAGUUAGUAUCGAGAUUAUUUGUCCCACCAUUUAUAUCAUAGUUAUGGAAUAAGUUAUUCCAUAUAAAUGACGGAAUAAUUGGGAUAGCGGACUUCUUUUAAGACGUUAUUCAGAAAUGAUUUUUCAACAAUGUAUGCUCUCCAAAUUCGUGAUGGGAGGAUGGAGAAGUUUUAUUGAUACGCCUCUUCUUUUUCUUGCUUUCUCUAAUAGUUCAUUGACUUCUUUUCUUGCAACUUCGAAGUAUAGGAGUCACUGUAAUUACAACUAAUCAGUUACUAUAGGAUAAAUUUUCUUUUACAGUAGGAUAGAACUUUUGGGCUUCAGUAAAGCCUAACAUUUGAAAUGGUUUAAAAUCAACAAGAAACAGCCAAAGGAUAUACACUAAUCACUAUUUUUUUUUAUUAGAAAAAUAGUUGUUGUUGUAAAACAAAAAUACUUUAAUGGUUGUGGAUUGGGUUUAUUUUAAUGGAUCGAUUCUUUUUAAUUUUUAAUGGGUCUAAGAUAUUUUGAAAUUAAUAUUAGUUUAUUUUAAUUAAUGAAGUGUACCUAUACUAAAAAACCACGUCAAAUAUCUGUUUUUAUAAACCCACCAUUAAAAGGCAAUCACAUGGAUGAACUGAUUUUAUAAUGACGAUGACACAAAUUAUUAACCGAACUUUUAACUAAUGAUAUAAUGAAUCAUUUCUGACAGUUCAAUGGCAUAUUUGAGCCUUUUUCUUUAAAAUAUUUUUGGCUCAUUUAAUUAAUGACGUGGACAAAUCAUUGUUGACUACGUGUACAAAAUGAUUUUGCCAAAAAUCACCAAAUUAGACUGUUAAAAAAAUGGCAUGAAUGAGCAUAUUUUGUAACGGUAAUGACAUGAAUGAGUCAAACUUUAAACCAGAUGUUAUAGAUGAACCUUUUCUCAAAGCUCGAUGACAUAUUUGUGCCUUUUUCCAAUAUAAAAAGACAAGAUUAGGUGUAGAAUUUGUAUUCAAUCAACAAAGAACUAAAAUUGCAUUAAGGGAGAGUGGUGGCGACUAGUACUCAAUAGUCGCAACAUGUUUUUUUUUUUUUUGACUGAGGGUGACAUGAUUUCAAAUUUGACGUUGAAUUUAUGGAGAUAUUAUAUAUAAAAAGUCUAUUUGGUUUUAGUAGUUAUUGUUAAAAGUUGAAAGAAAUUUGAAGAUGAUUGCGAAAAAUUUAAAUGAUAAUUGAAAUCCAGCACUAAGCCGACUUCAAAUCAUCUCAAUAAGGUACAAGUUUAAAUAAGAUACCAAAUAAUAAAGUGAUCCUAAAUAAGAUAGGAUACUCUUAAAUAAGGUACAAGAUAUUAGAGAUAGUAGAUUAACCGCAUUGACCUCGCACGUGUAACAUUUAAUUAUUUAAAAUUAAAUAAUUUUAUCUAUUGCGAAGAUUUUUAAUAAAGUGUAAAAGUUUAAAACACUUUUUAAAGAUUCUACAUACUUUAAUAUAAUAAUAUAAAUAUAAGCAUAAAUUUUAGUGUAAGCAUAUAUAUAUUUUACCACCAGAAGUUCUAAGUAGUUGAUGGAUCAUCACUUUUGCGUUUAUCAUUCAGUACCACUUUUCCGUGCUGUCAGAGGCUAAGAGAGACGCAUCAAUUUGAAUCAUAUUUGUUGUACGAUUAUUUUUUUUACAUAUUUAAAAUCUUUCUUCUUUAGAAAGUCAAUGUGUCAGAUAUUUUUUUUUUUUCUAUAUUUAAAAUCUUUCCUUAUUAUUUUUUUUGAUCGAACAAUCCAUCUUAUUCCACAUAAAACCAAGUCUCAAUUACAACUCAACUCAUAGCUAUUUGCAACUUCACUACCAAACCCAAAAUUAAACUAUAUUUAUCUAUACAAAAUUAUGGAUUACAUUUUUAUUAGGUACUUAAGAAAUUUUAAAAUUUGACACUUUUUAAAUUUUUCUUAUUCUAACGCUUUUAUAUUUAUUUCUAGAUUUUUCAAAUCUUAUUAAAAUCAAAUUUAGUUGAUUUAAAAUUCUUAAACUGAUGGAAAAAGUAAUAGUUGUCACUAAUUCUGAUGAUUUCUAAUAAAGAAAGGUUUUACCUUAAAUACAUUUAGUGAAUUUUUAACUCUUAAAUAUUAAAAAAAAAUAAUGAAAAGACGAUUUUGUCUAAAUCAAAGACUUUUAAUAAAGGGCAAAAAGUUGAAACGAUAUUUCUAAAACUCUUCACACUUUUUAUAUAUUAUAGAUAUAGAUAUAGAUUAUAAAUUAUAGAUAAUAUAAGGGUUUACUUAAGAUGUACAAAAGGAAUGAAAUAAUAUAUAAGAAUUUUUUAAAUUUGGACUGAAAUCAACAUGUUGAGGUUGUUGAAACUAAAGAUGACCUAAACUUUAUAGUGUAGCAGACAAAUAUACAAUGAAAUGAAACAGGUGAAUCAACCCGUUCUAAUAAACAAAUACAACAACAUUCAAAUAGUUAUUUUACUAGAUUUCUUUCUCUUUCUAUAGUGGAGAUAGUCCACAUAAUGAUACAUCAUGUCCAUUUUAUUUUUCUGUCUAUAUAUUAUUUUCAGGCAUCUUUAUAUGUAAACAUAAUAAUCUUAUGUAAACAGACAAAACUACACACAACAUUGUAACUAUUGAAUAAUUAUACUUAAUUAUAACCUUACUUUACAAGAAAAGAUAAUUAUUUCAUUUGUAAAGAUUAAAAUCCAAGCGUGGAGUAAGGUGAACUUUGAGUGGAAAAACUUUGAGGAUUGUCAAUCCAAAGCUCUCACUCAUAUCAAUUGGUUAGGUCUCGUAAUUUUAAACCCCUACAGUAGCACAGCCAUCACAUAUUGCACAACUUGAAGGCCUAAAGAAACUCCAGGGCACAUUCUUCUUCCUCUACCAAACGGCAUCAACUCAAAGUGAUUCCCUCUUACAUUGACAUCCUUAUGAGUUGUCAAGAACCUCUCGGGCUUAAACUCAUGCGGAUUUGGCCAAAUAUCCGGAUCAAAAUGAAAUUUCCAUAUGUUCACUAGUAAGCGAGUGCCUUUUGGUAUAUCGUAGCCACAAACAACACAACCCUCAAUCGACUCAUGGGGUAGCAAGAGUGGUGCAGCUGAAUAUAAACGCAACGAUUCAUUAACAAUAGCUUGAAGAUAAACUAAGUUCUUGAGGUCCGAUUCUUGGACCCAUCUGUUCUUGCCAACAUGAAUGUCUAGCUCAUCUUGGGCCUUUUUAAGGGCUUCGUAGUUGUUUAGGAGUAAAGAUAGAGUCCAUGUUAGAGUUACAAUUGUAGUAUCAGUACCUGCCGAUUGCAUA
Molecule: long non-coding RNA, 12465 nt
Filed under: Capsicum annuum
Lineage: Eukaryota; Viridiplantae; Streptophyta; Magnoliopsida; Solanales; Solanaceae
Description: long non-coding RNA (CANN_LNC006114)
Source: RNAcentral